Molecule: ribosomal RNA, 497 nt
Filed under: uncultured bacterium
Lineage: Bacteria
Description: partial 16S ribosomal RNA
Rfam family: Bacterial small subunit ribosomal RNA
Source: RNAcentral
GAUGAACGCUGGCGGCGUGCCUAAUACAUGCAAGUCGAGCGAACGGACGAGAAGCUUGCUUCUCUGAUGUUAGCGGCGGACGGGUGAGUAACACGUGGAUAACCUACCUAUAAGACUGGGAUAACUUCGGGAAACCGGAGCUAAUACCGGAUAAUAUUUUGAACCGCAUGGUUCAAAAGUGAAAGGCGGUCUUGCUGUCACUUAUAGAUGGAUCCGCGCUGCAUUAGCUAGUUGGUAAGGUAACGGCUUACCAAGGCAACGAUGCAUAGCCGACCUGAGAGGGUGAUCGGCCACACUGGAACUGAGACACGGUCCAGACUCCUACGGGAGGCAGCAGUAGGGAAUCUUCCGCAAUGGGCGAAAGCCUGACGGAGCAACGCCGCGUGAGUGAUGAAGGUCUUCGGAUCGUAAAACUCUGUUAUUAGGGAAGAACAUAUGUGUAAGUAACUGUGCACAUCUUGACGGUACCUAACCAGAAAGCCACGGCUAACUACGUG